AAUGAACGCUGGCGGCAUGCCUUACACAUGCAAGUCGAACGGCAGCAUGACCUCGCUUGCUAGGUUGAUGGCGAGUGGCGAACGGGUGAGUAAUGCAUCGGAACGUGCCUUUUAGUGGGGGAUAACGUAGCGAAAGUUACGCUAAUACCGCAUAUUCUCUGAGGAGGAAAGCAGGGGACCUUCGGGCCUUGCGCUAGAAGAGCGGCCGAUGUCGGAUUAGCUAGUUGGUGAGGUAAAGGCUCACCAAGGCAACGAUCCGUAGCGGGUCUGAGAGGAUGAUCCGCCACACUGGGACUGAGACACGGCCCAGACUCCUACGGGAGGCAGCAGUGGGGAAUUUUGGACAAUGGGCGCAAGCCUGAUCCAGCCAUGCCGCGUGAGUGAAGAAGGCCUUCGGGUUGUAAAGCUCUUUCGGCUGGGAAGAAAUCGCACCCUCUAAUACAGGGUGUGGAUGACGGUACCAGCAUAAGAAGCACCGGCUAACUACGUG
This 490-nucleotide ribosomal RNA is filed under the name uncultured bacterium. RNAcentral describes it as "partial 16S ribosomal RNA". It matches the Rfam family "Bacterial small subunit ribosomal RNA", at positions 29 to 507 of the family's 1533-position model. The record is from RNAcentral.